This is a long non-coding RNA of Mustela erminea (ermine), 2019 nucleotides long. RefSeq lists it as uncharacterized. The record is from RefSeq and is a predicted model, not a curated record. Lineage: Eukaryota; Metazoa; Chordata; Mammalia; Carnivora; Mustelidae. The transcript has 2 exons.
CUGAGCUGAAGGUCAAUGCUUAACCAACCGAACCACCCAGGCUCCUUGGAAAUUUCAUGGUUUUAUGGAAGUUUUGGAAAGACCCCUUUGGCUAAGAAUGGAAAUGGACUGGAGGGAGCCAUGGAAGGUGGAAGGUGGAAGACCAUUGAGGGAGUCGCUAAGGUCGUUCAUGUAAGAGAUGAGUGAUGAAGAACUUGAGAGACGUCCAGGAGAGACAGGUGCUCUGAAAUGAGUUUGGGAAAUAGUGCAAAGAUGAGAUUUUGGAAAUGUUAGUUAGGGUUUUGGCUUAGUGAAUAAGUAAAACCAUAAGUGAACAUAGGACAUUACAGAAGGAUGAAUCAAUUUGGGGAAUACUAAACAUACCAGUGACCAUUUGUUGAACACUCAGGGGGUUCCAAGUAUCAUGCCAAGCUUUUUAUACACAUUAGGUCGCUAGGACUCAGAACCAUCCUUGAGGACAGGUACUCUCAUUGCAUUUGUUGAAAUGAAGAGUGUAAACUGCCUUUCUGAGAUUAGCAGGCAGCAGGGGCAGGAUUUGAACCCACUUUUGAUUCCUAGGUCUGUGCUCUCAAGCCCCACUCCAUUCUGCCUGACUGAACUGCUAGCCCUCACUUGAGACUCAGCUCAAGGGCAAGUUCCUCUGGUGAGCCCUCCCUGAUUCUUCCUGGGUGCUUCCUCUGCGAGACCUAUGCAUGCUUCUGUGGUCACGUUUCUCACAAUCCCUUGGCAGUUUGUAGAGCCCUCUGCUUCCCCAGCAGUUGGUCCGAGAACUCCUGAAGGCAGGGGUGGUUCAUUUUUGCAUCCUCAGUGUCUAGCACGUGUCCAUUGGCUGGCUGAAUGCUAAUUGCUCUGGGCAAUUGUGUUCACUUCUCUUUUCUACACAUUCAUUUAGGGAACAAGUUCUGCUAGUAAUAGUUUCUUACAUAGUUCUCUGUGCUGUUCCUUUCUAUCUCCGCUGCCAGAGCUUAGCACUGACCUCUUUGAGAUCAUAGAAGAAGGGCAUCUAAUGUAUGAUGGAAUCUAGGAGGCUUCCUCUGGAGCUAUUUUGGUAAAGAAAGGCACUCCAGGUAGAUGAAAACGCAUAAUAAAUGAAGGCACAGAGGUGUGAAACAGUCUGUAUGGGGGACUAUGAGGGGUUUAGCCUGUGUUACUAAAGAUAAAGAAAUACGCUUGGCUGAGACUUGUGGAAUAGAGGUGAGAAGGCAGGGCUAGUGGAGGCAUUAUUUCCUCUAUACAGUUGACCCCUGAACAAUGACAGCGCUAAGGGCACCCACCACCCUAACAGUGGAAAAUCCAUGUAUAACUUUGACACCCCCCAAACUUAACUACUAAUAGCCUACUGUUGACCAGAUUCCUUCCUGAUAACAUGAAGAGUUAACAUGUAUUUUGUAUGUUAUAUGUAUCAUGUACUGUAUUCCUACAAUAUAAUAAACUGGAGAAAAGAAAAUAUUAUUAAGAAAAUCAUAACAAAGAAUGUAUUUCUAGUACUAUUCUGCAUUUAUUGGAAAAAAAAACAAACAAACUAAAAACCCACGUGUAAAUGGAUCCACACAGUUUUAAGCCCCUGUUGUUCAGAGGUCAGCUGUACCUGAUGAAAUAGAUGUCUGUACAGGGCAUAGGGAGGACACAGGAGGAGUGAGUACUUGUAUCUGAGGGCUAAGGAAAGACUUAGGUUUCACUGUAUUUCAGUUCUUUGUAUACUGACAACAGAACCAUUUUAUUUCCUGUGGCUAUGUACCUGGCGCAGCACUUAACAUGCAUUAUCUCAUCAAACCCUCACAACAUCCUGUGAAAUAGGUGUUAUUACCUUCAUGCAUAAGAGGGAAAGGAGGCUCUGGCCGAUUAAUAGUGUUCCCAAGGUCACGUGGCUAGAAAACUGGCCUACAUCGAAGAGUUCUUAGAGUCUAGACUAUAUCCUGCUAAGGAGAUCUUCUUGGAAUCCACGAACGUGUCUUUUAUUUUUGUGUGUCUAGACCUAGGACUUAGAGACGACCAAUAAACAUCAGUUUAAUAAAUGAA